GAGUGUGUCGGAUUCUCCAACAUUUGUGUAAUUUUGGAGAAUCUGACACGGGUGU
Molecule: microRNA precursor, 55 nt
Filed under: Solanum tuberosum (potato)
Lineage: Eukaryota; Viridiplantae; Streptophyta; Magnoliopsida; Solanales; Solanaceae
Description: miR5303e stem-loop (stu-MIR5303e)
Source: miRBase by way of RNAcentral